Non-coding RNA from Haplochromis burtoni (Burton's mouthbrooder), 484 nucleotides. Lineage: Eukaryota; Metazoa; Chordata; Actinopteri; Cichliformes; Cichlidae. The record is from the annotation of a RefSeq genome assembly.
AUGUUCUCUGUAGCUGUGCUCCUGCUGCUGCUGGUUUUUGGAACCUGUGUAAAAUGUGAGCAGUUGAUACAGACAGCAUCUGUGACUGUGCAGCCAGGUCAGCGUCUGACCAUCACCUGUCAGGUCUCUUAUUCUCUACGCAGCUGGAGGACAGCUUGGAUCAGACAGCCUGCAGGGAAAGGACUGGAGUGGAUUGGAGAUGCACAUUAUGGACACAACACAUACUACAAAGAUUCACUAAAGAACAAGUUCACCAUCAACUUAGACACUUCAAGCAAGACAGUGACUCUAAAUGGACAGAAUAUGCAGCCUGAAGACACUGCUGUGUAUUACUGUGCGAGAAUGCCACAGUAAUACAAAGCAUCAGUGGAGCUGAACAAAAACCCCUCAGAGCUUCAACAUGUGUAACAUCCUCCACCAGUACAGGAGCCCCCAGACUACAGAACACUGUUAUCUGCUGCAUGUCGCUGUUUAGCACUGGAGA